CCUACGGGUGGCAGCAGUUAUGAAUCUUGUUCCCUUUACUCACGUCUUCCCCCUCCCUUCCUCUUUCCUGACGCCGGCUCUCUGCGUUGUAAACUGCUUUUGUACGAGGGUAAACGCAGAUACGCGUAUCUGUCUGAAAGUAUCGUACGAAUAAGGAUCGGCUAACUCCGUGCCAGCAGCCGCGGUAAUACGGAGGAUUCAAGCGUUAUCCGGAUUUAUUGGGUUUAAAGGGUGCGUAGGCGGUCGGAUAAGUUAGAGGUGAAAUCCCGAGGCUCAACUUCGGAAUUGCCUCUGAUACUGUUCGGCUAGAGAGCAGUUGCGGUAGGCGGAAUGUAUGGUGUAGCGGUGAAAUGCUUAGAGAUCAUACAGAACACCGAUUGCGAAGGCAGCUUACCAAGCUACUUCUGACGUUGAGGCACGAAAGCGUGGGGAGCAAACAGGAUUAGAUACCCCUGUAGUC
Molecule: ribosomal RNA, 460 nt
Filed under: uncultured bacterium
Lineage: Bacteria
Description: partial 16S ribosomal RNA
Rfam family: Bacterial small subunit ribosomal RNA
Source: RNAcentral